AUGGAUGUAGCUCAAUGAUAGAGCACUUGCCUGGCAUGUGUGAGGCACUGAGUUCAAUCCUCAGCAGCAUA
This 71-nucleotide transfer RNA is filed under the name Ictidomys tridecemlineatus (thirteen-lined ground squirrel). RNAcentral's name for it is "Spermophilus tridecemlineatus (thirteen-lined ground squirrel) tRNA". It matches the Rfam family "tRNA". From Rfam's summary of the family: Transfer RNA (tRNA) molecules are approximately 80 nucleotides in length. Their secondary structure includes four short double-helical elements and three loops (D, anti-codon, and T loops). Lineage: Eukaryota; Metazoa; Chordata; Mammalia; Rodentia; Sciuridae. The record is from Rfam by way of RNAcentral.